GACAUUUCGGCCGAGUGGUUAAGGCGGCGGCCUGCUAAGCCGUUGGUCGAUACUGUGUUCGAGGCUACAAGUCUUAGUUU
This 80-nucleotide transfer RNA is filed under the name Perkinsus olseni. RNAcentral describes it as "tRNA-Ser". The record is from RNAcentral. Lineage: Eukaryota; Perkinsozoa; Perkinsida; Perkinsidae.